RNAcentral lists this ribosomal RNA (503 nucleotides) under uncultured bacterium. RNAcentral describes it as "partial 16S ribosomal RNA". It matches the Rfam family "Bacterial small subunit ribosomal RNA", at positions 30 to 523 of the family's 1533-position model. The record is from RNAcentral.
AUUGAACGCUGGCGGCAGGCUUAACACAUGCAAGUCGAGCGGAGUGAUGGUGCUUGCACUAUCACUUAGCGGCGGACGGGUGAGUAAUGCUUAGGAAUCUGCCUAUUAGUGGGGGACAACAUCUCGAAAGGGAUGCUAAUACCGCAUACGUCCUACGGGAGAAAGCAGGGGAUCACUUGUGACCUUGCGCUAAUAGAUGAGCCUAAGUCGGAUUAGCUAGUUGGUGGGGUAAAGGCCUACCAAGGCGGCGAUCUGUAGCGGGUCUGAGAGGAUGAUCCGCCACACUGGGGCUGAGACACGGCCCGGCCUCCUACGGGAGGCAGCAGUGGGGAAUAUUGGACAAUGGGGCGAACCCUGAUCCAGCCAUGCCGCUUGUGUGAAGAAGGCCUUAUGGUUGUAAAGCACUUUAAGCGAGGAGGAGGCUCUUUUGGUUAAUACCCAAGAUGAGUGGACGUUACUCGCAGAAUAAGCACCGGCUAACUCUGUGCCAGCAGCCGCCGUAA